This 257-nucleotide unclassified non-coding RNA is filed under the name Hevea brasiliensis (rubber tree). Lineage: Eukaryota; Viridiplantae; Streptophyta; Magnoliopsida; Malpighiales; Euphorbiaceae. The record is from RNAcentral.
AUCCAAUGAAACCAUUGAUAGCAAUAUUAGGCAAACUGUGUACGUGUUCAUCCGAGUAGUAAUCAAUUACUCAUUAUUGAAUCUUAGAGCGUGCUUGGAUUGUGUUUGAUCUUUGAUAUGUGCAUUUUAUUUCUUAUUGGAUGUAUGCUUAUUCUUAAAGCUCAUUUUAUUACUUUAUCUCUUUGGAGCUACCUCUAUACACAUAGAUCUCAUUGGAGUUCUUAAUGACACAACAGGGCGUAGAGGGAGUUACCAUU